GACGUAGGUGGCAAGCGUUGUCCGGAGUGAUUGGGCGUAAAGCGCGCGCAGGCGGUGCGGUCAGUCCAUGGUGAAAGCGCCCGGCUCAACUGGGCGAGGUCCGUGGAGACGGGCGCACUGGAGGGAAGCAGAGGCGAGUGGAAUUCCGGGUGUAGUGGUGAAAUGCGUAGAGAUCCGGAGGAACACCAGAGGCGAAGGCGGCUCGCUGGGCUUUUUCUGACGCUGAGGCGCGAAAGCGUGGGGAGCGAACCG
RNAcentral lists this ribosomal RNA (252 nucleotides) under uncultured bacterium. RNAcentral's name for it is "partial 16S ribosomal RNA". It matches the Rfam family "Bacterial small subunit ribosomal RNA", at positions 524 to 775 of the family's 1533-position model. The record is from RNAcentral.